RNAcentral lists this long non-coding RNA (458 nucleotides) under Homo sapiens (human). RNAcentral describes it as "HSALNT0336206". Lineage: Eukaryota; Metazoa; Chordata; Mammalia; Primates; Hominidae. The record is from RNAcentral.
ACGCUCGCUCUCCAGCAAGCAGGCGCAUGCGCGGGUCACGUGGCGGAAAUGUGGCCUCUCGCCAACCGCUAUCGUGCCUCAAGCCGGAAGUUGAUAUGGUUGCCUAGGAGACCGGACGUAGCUCUCUAGCCUAGGCAUCAUACUUAGCUGAGCUCACAGAGGCUGGCGGACGUGCGCCCCAUGGCGGAGCGAGCUGAAGUUGCAGCCUGGGACCAGGGAAAUCAAGAGGAUCAUGCUGGCUGCUGUGUGGAGAAAAGACCGAGGGGAAGUAAAAGAACAAAGAACAAAAGAGAACAUGAUGGCUUGGAUCAAGAAUCACCAUUAGCUCCCUUCUGAUGAAGCAGGAGUUGACUCAGCUGGGCUUUCAGCUGGACACGGAAAGCGGAGGUAGAUGAAUUGUCAUGAUCAAACAGGGUUCUGCUCAGUUGAACAGGCUAGAGUACAGUGGCAUAGCUCAC